GACGAGGGGUCCAAGCGUUGUUCGGAAUCAUUGGGCGUAAAGCGGGUGUAGGUGGCUUUGUAAGUCAGGAGUGAAAGCCCCAGGCUUAACCUGGGAAGUGCUUUUGAUACUGCAAAUCUUGAAUGUGGGAGAGGAUGGUGGAAUUCCUGGUGUAGUGGUGAAAUACGUAGAUAUCAGGAGGAACUCCGGUGGCGAAGGCGGCCAUCUGGCCCAACAUUGACACUGAGACGCGAAAGCGUGGGGAUCAAACAGG
RNAcentral lists this ribosomal RNA (253 nucleotides) under uncultured bacterium. RNAcentral describes it as "partial 16S ribosomal RNA". It matches the Rfam family "Bacterial small subunit ribosomal RNA", at positions 524 to 776 of the family's 1533-position model. The record is from RNAcentral.